This is a small nuclear RNA of Panicum virgatum (switchgrass), 99 nucleotides long. The record is from RefSeq and is a predicted model, not a curated record. Lineage: Eukaryota; Viridiplantae; Streptophyta; Magnoliopsida; Poales; Poaceae.
AUCCCUUCGGAGACAUCCGAUAAAGUUGAAAUGAUAGAGAAGAUUAGCUCCUUUCUGCGAAAAGAUGACAUGCAUAAAUUAAAAAUAAUUUACAUUUUU